This 3173-nucleotide long non-coding RNA is filed under the name Daucus carota (carrot). RNAcentral's name for it is "long non-coding RNA (DCAR_LNC001065)". The record is from RNAcentral. Lineage: Eukaryota; Viridiplantae; Streptophyta; Magnoliopsida; Apiales; Apiaceae.
GUAUAAUUGUAUGUGAAGUGUCAGUGCUAGAAGUUCUGACACAUAUGUAUAAUAUAUAUAUGUGUGUGUGUGUGUGUGUUUCUUUUGAAGUUAUAUAAAUUCUUUUUUUUUUUCCUGACUCGCAGAUUGCAUUACGCUUCUCAGAACUUUCAUUCUCCGUCUCAGACCGUCUCGACAUAUGAUGCUGCAAAACAAUUUGAAAUAGAAACUCAUUUAAUCCCUUCAUAUUCAAGAAAUGCAGAACCUGAAGAGUAUGUUUUUAAUCCAAGUAACACUUCAAAGUUUGACGGAUGUGAACCUGAGGAAAUCUCUUCUCGGUGGAUGAUGAAUCAUAGUGAUAACUUUGACACAUUUUCUCUUGAUGAGCAAACCAGAGUUGUAGCUAAUGAUGUUCAGGAACAAACUGGUGCAGCAUCAUCUUGUAUUACUUGGGAUGAAAAGAUAGAAAUAGUGGAACCUACAGGACCACAAUAUCAUUUUAAUGAAAAUGUGUAUGGUCACCCUACGAAUUCUGACCCAAUUCUUUUAGAGGGGGAUGCUUCUAAUUUUGAAACUGAAUGCUGCAGUAACAAAAGCCCACCAAAAUCAGUCUGUGCUGCACAUCAAUUUGAUGAGUAUGAGAGUGACAUAGACAUUUACAUGGAUUCACGUAAUACCAUGGAGUCAGAAUCUGAAACUGAUUUAGAAUGUCAAACGAAGCGAGAAGUGGAGCAGUAUUCAGAUAUGAACACCAUAGCAAUCGAUGAAAAUCUAAAUAGGAUUAACCCUGAGUACAUGGAAAGCAAUUCUGCAAAUGCUCCUACUCAUGUUCCACCUCGUAUCUCCACAGAUGGUGAUAUUUCAGACAACCACCACCACUCAUUUGUCCUUGAAUCUAGCUCUGUCCUAAGCAAAGAAAUAUCCACUGCUAAGCCCAUUUCCGUAACCCCAGUAUGUAAUGCACAGGUACAGUCUCGUGACACAGGCAAAUCUUCAAUUCUGGACAGUCUGUCUUCUAGUGAGUUAAUCGAUAGUGAUGAUAUGACUAGCUCCAAAACAGAAACUGCUGUCAGAAAUUUGUCGUCCUUUGACUCGAAUGAACUAGUAAUUCAGGCUUUAAACAGUGAUAAAGUCUUAAGCAAUGCAUAUGGGUCACAAGAUUCUCCGUCACUGCCUUCUGUUACUGGAACAAACUUUUGGACAAAUGGUGGACUACUGGGGCUUCAACCAUCAAAACCCCCUGACUUCAGUACGCCAGGUCCUAUGAAUCAUGACUCCAUGGGUCCAAGCCGAGGUAAAACUUUUGAGGGCAAUAAACUUGCACCAGAAACCGAUAUCUCUGAGGGUUUUAAAGUGCCUAAACAGAAAAGUAGCUCUAAACACUGCAUAUCGCUCUAUAAUGAUCAGGAAGAUAGUACCUCUGUCAUGAAAACAUCUUUGAGUUCUUCACAAACUCAUUCAGAAAGUAAAAAUCAACAUACUGCCAUUUGUCAGCAUAAUGAUAGUCAGUUCCAGAAUCUACUUUUCUCUGAAGCCAGUAUUAUGAUACCUGGAACUAAAAAACCGGAUAAUCUGAAUUUUGAAGCUGCUAAAUCUCUUGGAUAUAUUGACAAGAAUUCAUCUCGGAUUUUUGAAUUAAGCAAUGAAGUACUUGAUAACAGUCAAGGUAAAGUAUGUUUUUCUCUUGAGGACAAUCCUCUCAACUCUUUCACAAGUGGUAUAUCUGAAAGAAAUAGUGUGCAUCAAACAUUUCAAACCUUCUCUGAUAGGAUCUUCACAGAGCAGUUUGGAACUAAAUUUUCAUUCAUAUCACCGUCAUCUUCUCCACCGCUUGAACAUAUGAAGAUAUCUUUUCAGCCUAUAGAUGGAUUUGAGGUAUCAAAGCUGAAACUGGAUUUCCCUGGUGGAAAUGAGUCUCUAGAAGGUGGUAGAGAUGUCUUUCCUUCUUUUCAACUAGUCCCAGAAGUGUCUCUUUCAUUGCUGGACAUUAAUUCAGACUCUGAUGACACUUUUUGUGAUUCAAAUUCUCACGGGUCAGAUGAUUCUAUCACUCAUUACUCAGUGUCAUAUUUUGAAGAAUGGGGAACAAUAGAAUAUCCUAAAUGCGAUGAUAGUGAUAUGUCUGAUGCUUUAUGCAUAAACUCAAUAGAAUCAGUUUCAAGUAACUUGGAUUUUGGGAGAAUUGCUCCGGGAGUAAUCACCAGCAAUAGUGGACUUCCAAAUCUAUUUUAUGAGAAAGUUAUGGAACAUUCAGAAACAGAUCUUCCAAGUUUUGAUACUUUAGAUGAUUCAAUCAAUGAGGAAUUACAGAAUGAUUCUAAAGCAAAGAUUGAACUGGAUUCAGGACCACUUAAGGAUUCCACACUGUCACCUACUCUCCCUCCAACAGAGUGCGGUAUGAACGAAAAUCCAGAUAUGGCAACUGAGAACCAAGUUCCUUCUGUUAAAGCCCUAAAACAUGAAUUUGAUCAGAAGCUUCAAUUUUCCACAAUCUCCCACCAACAGAAAGUAGAACCAUUUAAUCAUGGAAAUAUGGAGACAAUUGGAUGUACGAAAAAUAAAAAGGUACUUACCUAAUUGUCAAUUUUCAUGCAACUAUAUCAUGUCUUGUGUUUCGGCUGUAACAUACUAAUAUAUGACGUACAAAGUUGUGCAUGUUGGAGAAACUACCAUAAACUACUCAUGGUUAUGUAUAUGAUAUAUGCAGCAUCCAGAUGGCCAGAAGCUCAAUUUACAGANUUCAUUCUCCGUCUCAGACCGUCUCGACAUAUGAUGCUGCAAAACAAUUUGAAAUAGAAACUCAUUUAAUCCCUUCAUAUUCAAGAAAUGCAGAACCUGAAGAGUAUGUUUUUAAUCCAAGUAACACUUCAAAGUUUGACGGAUGUGAACCUGAGGAAAUCUCUUCUCGGUGGAUGAUGAAUCAUAGUGAUAACUUUGACACAUUUUCUCUUGAUGAGCAAACCAGAGUUGUAGCUAAUGAUGUUCAGGAACAAACUGGUGCAGCAUCAUCUUGUAUUACUUGGGAUGAAAAGAUAGAAAUAGUGGAACCUACAGGACCACAAUAUCAUUUUAAUGAAAAUGUGUAUGGUCACCCUACGAAUUCUGACCCAAUUCUUUUAGAGGGGGAUGCUUCUAAUUUUGAAACUGAAUGCUGCAGUAACAAAAGCCCACCAAAAUCAGUCUGUGCUGCACAU